UGAAAAUAUAAGUUAAUCUAGAUAAAAAUAAUAAUUAUUGUAAUUAUAUUACAUAAAUCUCUAUAAUCGUACUAAUUACUGUAAUUAUGCUAACAGAAAUCACACUACUGUUGUCUUCCAAUCUAGAAAAAGAAAACAACUACCAAGGCAAAAUACUAGUUGGUAAGCUCAUUUCCGAUAAAAGCCUCAGUGUUGUAAUAGUCAAAACAACCCUUUAAAAAUCUUGGCAAACCAGAUAGGAGUUUCAAGUCACAACAUGAAGGAGAAAUGUUUUGUGUUUGCCUUUGAGCAUAGGGUGGAUGCAAAUUAUGUGUUGGAAAAUAGGCUCUGGUUCAUUCAUAAUCAACAUCUCUCAAUUCAAGAGUGGCCCCCUGAUGUGUCCUUUGAAGAGCUUUCCUUUGAUUGUUCUCCCUUUUGGAUUUAGGUUUAUGGACUCCCUCCUAAACAAGUUAAUCAGCAAAAUGCAGAAAUUAUUGGGAAUAGUAUGGGACAGUUUAUGGAGGCGAAACUGACUAACGAUGGACAACUGGGAUACUGCAAUUUCAUGAGAAUAAGAGUCUCUCUCCAAGUAAACCAUCAUUUUCUAACAGGCUUCCAAAAUCUCAAACUAGAUGGUACGAAGCAGAAGGUGAAUAUCAAGUUUAAAAAAAUGCCAGACAUCUAUUAUGGGUGUGGUAUCAUAGGCCACUUAUGACAGAACUAUCCAAAAGCUGAUGAUCUCUUUGCUUCUAGAAGUGAAUCUGGGAAAGGCUCUCUUUUUGGACCUUGGUUGAAAGCCACACAACCAUAUAAGUCUCAUGCAAGAAUUUUACCUAGCACACAAGACUUGCUUUCUGUUAACCCAAUCCAAAGCCUGCAACCUACCCAAAUUCAACCUUCACACCUUAUUACAAAAAAAAAAAGCUUUGUUUACCAAAACCACAACCUACUGAAAUCAACUCAAGCAAGAACCUCACAAACACUGAUCAUUAACCACCAGAUCUCAACCCUCUUACCACAAAGGGGAAAUCGCCGAUGACCCUGGAGAACUGCCAGAACCUUGCUUGUUUAAGGAAACCUUGAGUAAAAAGCCCCCUUUUGAGCGUCCUAAGCCGAUAGCAAUAGAGUUGUUUCCUCGAGAAGUAUCCCAAAGCUUUUCAGACAAUAUCUCUCCACAAAGGGUAUAAAUCAUGUGGAUACAAAGGGCUCUUUCAAUUGAUUCCCCUAUCUGGUAAAUCAUUUUCAAACGGCAGCAAUGAAUACUCCUGCUACCCUAGACCUUCAAACGGUAGAUGGGAUAAAUGAG
RNAcentral lists this unclassified non-coding RNA (1285 nucleotides) under Hevea brasiliensis (rubber tree). Lineage: Eukaryota; Viridiplantae; Streptophyta; Magnoliopsida; Malpighiales; Euphorbiaceae. The record is from RNAcentral.